Molecule: long non-coding RNA, 604 nt
Filed under: Monodelphis domestica (gray short-tailed opossum)
Lineage: Eukaryota; Metazoa; Chordata; Mammalia; Didelphimorphia; Didelphidae
Description: lncRNA (ENSMODG00000046695.1)
Source: RNAcentral
CGAUUCCAAAGUUUUAAUAAGGUUAGCCUAGUUUAAUUGGAGUGGGCUUGAAACCUCUGUUGUCAUAAUCAAAGAAGCAUUCAUGUUACCAAAUUAACGGGGCUUAUUAGGAGAGUGGCCGAGUGCUGAAGUCCUUUGAACACCCAGCCAUAUGGGUAUAUCAAGAAGAGAUCAAACAGGAUGUCAAAGGAGACCUACUGCAAAUGGAUUUGUAUUAUUGAGGCCAUCACACACCGGGCACCCUUUGGCAACAUGGCAGCCACCCUCCUCCUGCUAGUCAUUAUCCUCCCAUGAGCCCUUAGCACGUGGCGCCAUGAAGACUCCACAGAGGGAAGGACUAAGAACAGUGAAUUGGAGAGGCAGAUUUUACCUAACCUAUUGAAACUGGAGCUGUGAUUUCAUAGGGAUAAGGUGAGGAGCCUCCUCUGUCAUUUAUGGUCUUAGAGGGUUGUGUUUACUGAGAAUUGAAGUGACUCAUUCAAAGUCACAUUGCCACUAUGGGUCAGAGAGAGCACACCAAUCCAGGUUUUCCUGGCACUAUGCAUUAAGCCACACUCCCCCUAUUUAUCUUUUUAUCAUCUUGAUAGCAUCACUUUCUGCUGGU